GACGAACGCUGGCGGCGUGCUUAACACAUGCAAGUCGAACGAAGUGGCGAACGGGUGAGUGACGCGUAAUCAAACUGCCCUUCAGAGGGGGACAACAGUUGGAAACGACUGCUAAUAACGCAUACUGAAGGAGGGGAUUGAGUCUGAUUAGCUAGUUGGAGGGGUAACGCCCCACCAAGGAGAUGAUCAGUAGCCGGUCUGCGAGGAUGAACGGCCCCAUUGGGACUGAGCCACGGCCCAGACUCCUACGGGAGGCAGCAGUGGGGAAUCUUCCGCAAUGGACGAAAGUCUGACGGAGCAACGCCGCGUGAGUGAUGACGGCCUUCGGGUUGUAAAGCUCUGUUAAUCGGGACGCGGUACCGGAAUAGAAAGCCACGGCUAACUACGUGCCAGCAGCCGCGGUAAUUC
Molecule: ribosomal RNA, 408 nt
Filed under: uncultured bacterium
Lineage: Bacteria
Description: partial 16S ribosomal RNA
Rfam family: Bacterial small subunit ribosomal RNA
Source: RNAcentral